CCAAUAGCGUAUAUUAAAGUUGUUGCAGUUAAAAAGCUCGUAGUUGAAUUUCGGGAUCAAGGAAUCGGUCAUGCCUUGGUAUGUACUGGUUUUAUUGGUUCUCACCUUCUAAAGAACCAUAAUGUCAUUCAUUUGAUGUUAUGGGGAAUUAGGACUGUUACCUUGAAAAAAUUAGAGUGUUUAAAGCAGGCUUACGCUUGAAUACAUUAGCAUGGAAUAAUGAAAUAGGACGUUUGAUUCUAUUUUGUUGGUUUCUAGGAUCGACGUAAUGAUUAAUAGGGAUAGUUGGGGGCAUUAGUAUUCAAUUGUCAGAGGUGAAAUUCUUGGAUUUAUUGAAGACUAACUACUGCGAAAGCAUUUGCCAAGGAUGUUUUCAUUAAUCAAGAACGAAAGUUAGGGGAUCGAAGACGAUCAGAUACCGUCGUAGUCUUAACCAUAAACUAUGCCGACUAGGGAUCGGAUGAUGUUAAUUUUUUAAUGACUCAUUCGGCGCCUUACG
RNAcentral lists this ribosomal RNA (499 nucleotides) under uncultured Glomeromycotina. RNAcentral's name for it is "partial small subunit ribosomal RNA". It matches the Rfam family "Eukaryotic small subunit ribosomal RNA", at positions 591 to 1092 of the family's 1831-position model. Lineage: Eukaryota; Fungi; Glomeromycota. The record is from RNAcentral.